Molecule: transfer RNA, 72 nt
Filed under: Chelodina expansa
Lineage: Eukaryota; Metazoa; Chordata; Testudines; Chelidae
Description: tRNA-Trp
Source: RNAcentral
AGAAACUUAGGAUAAUAACCAAACCAGGAGCCUUCAAAGCCCCAAAUAAGAGUCAUAGUCUCUUAGUUUCUG